GAUGAAGAACGCAGCGAAAUGCGAUAAGUAAUGUGAAUUGCAGAAUUCCGUGAAUCAUCGAAUCUUUGAACGCACAUUGCGCCCCCUGGCAUUCCGGGGGGCAUGCCUGUCCGAGCGUCAUUUCUGCCCUCAAGCACGGCUUGUGUGUUGGGUGUGGUCCCCCCGGGGACCUGCCCGAAAGGCAGCGGCGACGUCCGUCUGGUCCUCGAGCGUAUGGGGCUCUGUCACUCGCUCGGGAAGGACCUGCGGGGGUUGGUCACCACCAUGUUUUACCACGGUUGACCUCGGAUCAGGUAGGAGUUACCCGCUGAACUUAAGCAUAUCAAUAAGCGGAGGA
RNAcentral lists this unclassified non-coding RNA (337 nucleotides) under soil metagenome. RNAcentral's name for it is "partial contains 5.8S ribosomal RNA, internal transcribed spacer 2, and large subunit ribosomal RNA". The stretch from base 1 to 120 matches the Rfam family "5.8S ribosomal RNA", at positions 35 to 154 of the family's 154-position model. The record is from RNAcentral.